This 237-nucleotide ribosomal RNA is filed under the name uncultured bacterium. Its description in RNAcentral is "partial 16S ribosomal RNA". It matches the Rfam family "Bacterial small subunit ribosomal RNA", at positions 118 to 353 of the family's 1533-position model. The record is from RNAcentral.
UGAGCAAUCUGCCCUUCUCUUCGGAAUAAGCGUUGGAAACGACGUCUAAUGCCGAAUACGACCUCCUUUCACAUGAUCGGAGGUGGAAAGCUCCGGCGGAGAAGGAUGAGCUCGCGGCCUAUCAGCUAGUUGGUGUGGGUAAUGGCCCACCAAGGCGACGACGGGUAGCCGGCCUGAGAGGGUGACCGGCCACACUGGGACUGAGACACGGCCCAGACCUCCGUACGGGAGGCAGCG